This 253-nucleotide ribosomal RNA is filed under the name uncultured bacterium. Its description in RNAcentral is "partial 16S ribosomal RNA". It matches the Rfam family "Bacterial small subunit ribosomal RNA", at positions 524 to 776 of the family's 1533-position model. The record is from RNAcentral.
UACGUAGGGGGCAAGCGUUGUCCGGAUUUAUUGGGCGUAAAGAGCGCGUAGGCGGCCGCACAGGUCCGUUGUGAAAACUGGAGGCUUAACCUUCAGACGUCGAUGGAAACCGUGCGGCUAGAGUCCGGAAGAGGAGAAUGGAAUUCCUGGUGUAGCGGUGAAAUGCGCAGAUAUCAGGAAGAACACCCGUGGCUAAGGCGGUUCUCUAGUACGGUACUGACGCUGAGACGCGAAAGCGUGGGGAGCGAACAGG